RNAcentral lists this ribosomal RNA (1265 nucleotides) under Salmonella enterica subsp. enterica. RNAcentral's name for it is "partial 23S ribosomal RNA". It matches the Rfam family "Bacterial large subunit ribosomal RNA", at positions 362 to 1547 of the family's 2925-position model. Lineage: Bacteria; Pseudomonadati; Pseudomonadota; Gammaproteobacteria; Enterobacterales; Enterobacteriaceae. The record is from RNAcentral. RNAcentral also lists the same sequence under 1 other name.
GGGUGACAGCCCCGUACACAAAAGCGCAUGUGCUGUGAGCUCGAUGAGUAGGGCGGGACACGUGGUAUCCUGUCUGAAUAUGGGGGGACCAUCCUCCAAGGCUAAAUACUCCUGACUGACCGAUAGUGAACCAGUACCGUGAGGGAAAGGCGAAAAGAACCCCGGCGAGGGGAGUGAAAAAGAACCUGAAACCGUGUACGUACAAGCAGUGGGAGCACAGGUUUACCUGUGUGACUGCGUACCUUUUGUAUAAUGGGUCAGCGACUUAUAUUCUGUAGCAAGGUUAACCGUAUAGGGGAGCCGUAGGGAAACCGAGUCUUAACCGGGCGUUAAGUUGCAGGGUAUAGACCCGAAACCCGGUGAUCUAGCCAUGGGCAGGUUGAAGGUUGGGUAACACUAACUGGAGGACCGAACCGACUAAUGUUGAAAAAUUAGCGGAUGACCUGUGGCUGGGGGUGAAAGGCCAAUCAAACCGGGAGAUAGCUGGUUCUCCCCGAAAGCUAUUUAGGUAGCGCCUCGUGAAUUCAUCUCCGGGGGUAGAGCACUGUUUCGGCUAGGGGGCCAUCCCGGCUUACCAACCCGAUGCAAACUGCGAAUACCGGAGAAUGUUAUCACGGGAGACACACGGCGGGUGCUAACGUCCGUCGUGAAGAGGGAAACAACCCAGACCGCCAGCUAAGGUCCCAAAGUCAUGGUUAAGUGGGAAACGAUGUGGGAAGGCCCAGACAGCCAGGAUGUUGGCUUAGAAGCAGCCAUCAUUUAAAGAAAGCGUAAUAGCUCACUGGUCGAGUCGGCCUGCGCGGAAGAUGUAACGGGGCUAAACCAUGCACCGAAGCUGCGGCAGCGAACGUAUCACCCAAGACAACUUUACGGAGUUGACGAUUGACGGAGCGAAGCGACGUCAAAGCGUUCAUUAAAGUCGAGUUGGCUUAGGGAUACGUUCGUUGGGUAGGGGAGCGUUCUGUAAGCCUGUGAAGGUGUGUCGUGAGGCAUGCUGGAGGUAUCAGAAGUGCGAAUGCUGACAUAAGUAACGAUAAAGCGGGUGAAAAGCCCGCUCGCCGGAAGACCAAGGGUUCCUGUCCAACGUUAAUCGGGGCAGGGUGAGUCGACCCCUAAGGCGAGGCCGAAAGGCGUAGUCGAUGGGAAACGGGUUAAUAUUCCCGUACUUGGUGUUACUGCGAAGGGGGGACGGAGAAGGCUAUGUUGGCCGGGCGACGGUUGUCCCGGUUUAAGCGUGUAGGUGUGUGUUCCAGGUAAAUCCGGUU